RNAcentral lists this ribosomal RNA (452 nucleotides) under Salmonella enterica subsp. enterica serovar Kentucky. Its description in RNAcentral is "partial 23S ribosomal RNA". It matches the Rfam family "Bacterial large subunit ribosomal RNA", at positions 150 to 638 of the family's 2925-position model. The record is from RNAcentral. Lineage: Bacteria; Pseudomonadati; Pseudomonadota; Gammaproteobacteria; Enterobacterales; Enterobacteriaceae.
AUCAUUAACUGAAUCCAUAGGUUAAUGAGGCGAACCGGGGGAACUGAAACAUCUAAGUACCCCGAGGAAAAGAAAUCAACCGAGAUUCCCCCAGUAGCGGCGAGCGAACGGGGAGGAGCCCAGAGCCUGAAUCAGCAUGUGUGUUAGUGGAAGCGUCUGGAAAGGCGCGCGAUACAGGGUGACAGCCCCGUACACAAAAGCGCAUGUGCUGUGAGCUCGAUGAGUAGGGCGGGACACGUGGUAUCCUGUCUGAAUAUGGGGGGACCAUCCUCCAAGGCUAAAUACUCCUGACUGACCGAUAGUGAACCAGUACCGUGAGGGAAAGGCGAAAAGAACCCCGGCGAGGGGAGUGAAAAAGAACCUGAAACCGUGUACGUACAAGCAGUGGGAGCACAGGUUUACCUGUGUGACUGCGUACCUUUUGUAUAAUGGGUCAGCGACUUAUAUUCUGU